GAUCCUGGCUCAGGAUGAACGCUGGCGGCGUGCCUAAUACAUGCAAGUCGAUCGGAAUGUAGCAAUACAUUAAGAGGCGAACGGGUGAGUAACACGUAGGUAAUCUGCCCCAAGGACUGGGAUACCCAAGCGAAAGUUUGGCUAAUACCGGAUAUGAGGAAACUUAAAAGCAGCGAUUGCUGCACCAUGGGAUGAGCCUGCGGCGCAUUAGCUAGUUGGUGAGAUAAGAG
Molecule: ribosomal RNA, 230 nt
Filed under: uncultured bacterium
Lineage: Bacteria
Description: partial 16S ribosomal RNA
Rfam family: Bacterial small subunit ribosomal RNA
Source: RNAcentral